This 65-nucleotide transfer RNA is filed under the name Euthalenessa festiva. RNAcentral describes it as "tRNA-Arg". Lineage: Eukaryota; Metazoa; Annelida; Polychaeta; Phyllodocida; Sigalionidae. The record is from RNAcentral.
AGAUUUGCUCUACUAGAGUAGUCGGUUUCGGCCCGAUCAAAUGGAAUCAAAGUCCCACAAAUCUU